GCUUAGAAGCAGCCAUUCAUUUAAAGAGUGCGUAACAGCUCACUAGUCAAGAGAUUUUGCGUGGAAAAUGUAACGGGGCUAAAGUGUUAAACCGAAGACAUGGACUUCAUAUUUUAUGGAGUGGUAGAGGAGCGUUGAUAUCGCAGUGAAGUCAGAUUGUAAAGUCUGGUGGAGCGUUAUCAAGUGAGAAUGCUGGAAUCAGUAACCUUAAGACAGGUGAGAAUCCUGUCGGUCGUAAGAGCAAGGUUUCCAGGGCUACAGUAAUUGUCCCUGGGUUAGUCGGUCCUAAGCCGAGGCGUAUCAGCGUAGGCGAUGGACAACAGGUUAAUAUUCCUGUACAGGUAGUAGUUGUUAACAGUUCACGGUGAGUGACCAGAGCGGAUUAAUGGUUUAUCCGUCCAAGAUUUCAAGGAAUUGAAACUGAGUGAAAGAUAUUCUUCGGAAUAUUGAUUCUGGGUACAACGCUGGCUAGAAAAGCUGGUUAACUUAUGCUGCUGCCUACCGUACCGCAAACCAACACCGGUGCUCGGGUCGAGUAGACCAAGACCUACGUGAGAACCUUCGCUAAGGAACUCGGCAAAAAAGCGUCCGUAACUUCGGAAUAAGGACUGCCCUCUCAUUAAGAUGAGGAUUUGCUAGAAACUUGGUGGAAACAUAAGGUUAAUAAUAUUUACCUAAUAAUUUAACCAAAUUUUUCGUCAAGACAGAACACAUCAGGAAAUAUCCUGUGAUAUCUUUUCUAGUAACUCAAUCGUCAUUUUGAUGAGAGGGUCGCAGCUAAAGAGCCCACGGAACUGUUUAACAAAAACAUAGGUCUCUGCUAACGCGAAAGCGGAUGUAUAGGGGCUGACUCCUGCCCGGUGUCGGAAGGUUAAGGGGAGAGCUUUACGGUUCGAACUGAAGCCCCGAUGAACGGCGGCGAUAACUAUGAUCGUCCUAAGGUAGCGAAAUUCCUUGUCUGGUAAGUUCAGACCCGCACGAAUGGAGUAAUCAUGUGGGCACUGUCUCGGCGAAGGCCACGGUGAACGUGCAUUGGCGGUAAAGAUGCCGUCUGAUCAUGCCAGGACGAGAAGACCCCAUGGAGCUUUACUACAACUUUGCAUUGAUUAUUGGGACAUUUUGUGUAGAAUAGGUGGAAGACUUUGAAGCAGAUACGCUAGUAUUUGUGGAGUCGAAAUGUGAAAUACCACCCUGAAUGUUUUAGUAAUCUCACUUUUGACCUUAUCGGCCAAGAGGACCGUGCAUGGCGGGUAGUUUAACUGGGGCGGUUGCCUCCUAAAGAGUAGCGGAGGCGUUCAAAGGUUGGCUAACUACGGAUGGAAAUCGUAGUGAUAGUGUAUGCGCAAAAGCCAGCUUGACUGUGAGGGCUACAACCCAAUCAGACACGAAAGUGGGAGCAAAUGACCCGCUGUACAGAACUUCGGUUCAAUUUACGUGGGAAAGACAGCGCACACGGAUAAAAGUUACCCUGGGGAUAACAGGCUGAUCGCGCCCAAUAGUUCACAUAGACGGCGCGGUUUGGCACCUCGAUGUCGGCUCAUCACAUCCUGGAGGGGGAGCACCUUCCAAGGGUUCGGCUGUUCGCCGAUUAAAGUGGUACGCGAGCUGGGUUCAGAACGUCGUGAGACAGUUCGGUUUAUAUCCGGCAUGAUCGUUAGGAAUUUUGAGGAGAUCUACCCUUAGUACGAGAGGACCGGGGCGGACGAACCUCUAGUGUAUCGGUUGUGACCACCUGUUGCAUUGCCGAGUAGCUAUGUUCGGAAGAGAUAAGCGCUGAAAGCAUAUUAAGCGCGAAGCCCACUCCAAGAUUAGAAUUCCCUAUGAGCUCCCAGAGAGAAGAUCUGGUUGAUAGGUGCAAGAUGGAAGUAUCGUAAGAUAUGGAGUCGAAGCAUACUAAUAGAGCCAUCGCCUUUUUA
Molecule: ribosomal RNA, 1916 nt
Filed under: human oral metagenome
Description: bacterial LSU rRNA
Rfam family: Bacterial large subunit ribosomal RNA
Source: RNAcentral